Molecule: non-coding RNA, 2712 nt
Organism: Misgurnus anguillicaudatus (oriental weatherfish)
Lineage: Eukaryota; Metazoa; Chordata; Actinopteri; Cypriniformes; Cobitidae
Source: RefSeq, a predicted model, not a curated record
ACGCGCAAGAUUUCACGCGCAAGAUUUCACGCGCAAAAACCGUUACAACCGUUGCAGCGCAAGCACAGGGACUGAGAGGAACAGGGCACCUAUCUGAGGUAAAACCUAACAAUUUUACUAUUCACUUUAUAAAAAAUAGAAGAUAACAUUAACGUUAUGUAGCCUUAUGUUAAUAUUAAAGCGUGGGCUGCAUAUUUUGAGUGUUUUUGAAGAACAUAUCUAAGACCAGAUGUCUGGAAAUAAUGGGAAUCUUCAGAUAUGAAUCACAAACGUGAUGUAACCUAUUUUUGAUAUAGUACUGUAAAUACAUUAUUAAUAGUAUAUAAAUGUAUAUUUAUCUUUGCAAAUGAACUUUUAUGUGAUAUCAUUCUCAUCUAAACUGCAAUUAUUUUUCUAGGGACUGAAACAAAUAUGAGCACAGAAGUUAUUCAAUGGACUUCUCAAGAUGUGACUGGUUGACUGGAAAAAGUUUCCACAAAUUUAUCCUAAUUUCCUAAUUAUUUCAAGGUUGAUCUCACAGGAAUGCCUACUCUUUUUAACUGUGUCAUAUGCAGCAAACAAACAUUUUCUAUAAAAAGACAUAUUGGCCUUUAUCACCAAAAUAGCCCAAAAUUUGAAUUCACACGUGGAUUAAAUAGUUGUGGCAAAAUAAACAAAAUCUUCAGUUCCUAUAGAUUAGGUUAAAAUGUAUGUUUGCUGCAAUAUAUAAUUCAGCAUGCAUUUUUGUUAAAAUUAUCAUCUUCUACUCCUUGUUUUAGAGAAUGAAAUUGAUGGGGAUACGUUAAUUAACCUAACUCAGAAUAUGAGCUAAAUGUUUUCCUAAAAUACAGGAUCAAGUAAAAUUCAUUAGACUACACAGAAACAAAUAAAGACUGAAAUGCCUACCAAGACUACACACAUCAGUCAUGAGUGUCCAACAAGUUACCAAUUAAACAAGGUGUGAUUAUCCCUUGUCACCAAAUACCAGUUCUUGAGAGACUGGUAAGAGAAUGGAACCACAAGAUUUCAUCAAAAGUCCAACAGAUAACCAGUGCAGAGGUAAAGCAUGUCAGACAAAGUGACACCUUAAUGGACAAUUAUAAUUUUAAAAUGCUUUGUGUUUUUUAUUUUAUAAAACUGAGGAAAACCAAGACAUGUGCAGCAUAGAAAGAGGUAAUUGUCACAAACAGACUGAUCUUCAGGAUUCAGUAAAAGCAGCAGUGGCGGCUCGUGACUGCUCAUCCGAGGGGCGCUAAUUCCAAAUAAGUGUUCAGAGUGUCAUGUGUGUUGCUUGCGUUUUCAAAAUAUGUGUUGGUUGCGUCAUGUGAACCAUGUGCAUCACGUGUUUUGUCAAAGUAAGUGCCUGCUGCACACGCGUCAAAACCAUUUAUGAUAAAAGAGAUGCUCACGUUCACAAAAUACACACAAGACACUCCCUUAACAGUAAAUUCUGAUUACGCAUGAGAUUAUGCGAGUAUCUGGCAAACGCGAGUGUCUCUUUUAUCAUAAACCCUUUGGACACGUUUGCAGCAGGCACUUAUUUUGACAAGACACAUGAUGCACACAGGAUCUCUCAUAGCGCAGAACACAUAUUGUGAAAAAAGGAACCACACACAUCACGGGCUACAUACAUAUUGUGACGAACUUCGCAUUGAGCGCUCUCAAAAAAAGAAGUCACCGGCCGCCACUGAAAAUCAGUAAAGUUAAUAAUGCAUACAUUUGUGGAAAGUCUGAGCAGGGGAAGAUGAUUACAGCAUUGGGUGCACUUUGAAAAAGUGAAAACAAGAAUGCUUGAAAAAACAUCAAAUAUUAAACUUUUUAGAGGACUGCAUGGCAUAGACAAUGACUGAGAGGACUAAAUCCCUAUCCAGCCCUUAAAGUCCCUUCAGUUCUUGCAUUUGAGGUCCAAAGCAUACUUGACACAGACAUUGAAAGAAACAUGCUGAAGAAUCUAGGCCUGGUGGCACAGAAAGUGAUUAAUGAGUGCCACAGAAGACAGGUUGGAGUGGAUAUCUGUAGCGAAGUGGAUGAAGCAAAACAAGCCUACAUUGAUUUGGCACACAGAGGUCUCUCAAUGGCUGCUGCUGCUACCAUGUUGCUUCUAUUUCUUUUCAAGGAGAGCCCAAGAUUCCUUUAUGUCAUUAAUCAGGUAAGCGUAUGUGGCUAAGUUUAUCUUUUAAGAGUUUAAAUCUAUAUUAAUCCUUUUUCAACCCUAUCUUUUAAUAUCAACUUUUUAAAGCCGGUAUUGCAUUGUGACCAGUGGCGGCUGGUGACUUCUCUUCCGAGGGGCGUUAAUUAAUAAUAUGUGUUCGGAGUGUCAUUUGUGUUGCUUGUUAUGUCAAAAUAUGUGUUCAGCCCGUCAUGUAAACCAUGUGCAUUAUGCGUCUUGUCAAAAUAAGUGCCUGCUGCACAUGCAUCGAAAUGAUAUGAUAAAAAAGACACAUUCAAUACUCGCAAGACACUAACUUAAAAGUGCAGUGUGUACAUUUUAGCAGCAUCUAGUGGUGAUGUUGUGAGUUACAACCAACAGCUCAGUCCACUGCUCACCCCUCGCUUUUGAAACGCAUAGAGAAGCUACGGUAGCCGUCACCAGAAAAACAUGUCAUCGUCGGAUACAACUUAAUAAAAAAAGUUUGUCCGUUAAGGGCUUCUGUAGAAACAUGGUGGUACAAAAUGGCGACUUCCAUGUAAGGGGACCCUCGGUGUAUGUAGAUAAAAACGUCUCAUUCUAAG